GACGAACGCUGGCGGCGUGCCUAAUACAUGCAAGUUGAGCGCUGAAGGUUGGUACUUGUACCAACUGGAUGAGCAGCGAACGGGUGAGUAACGCGUGGGGAAUCUGCCUUUGAGCGGGGGACAACAUUUGGAAACGAAUGCUAAUACCGCAUAAAAACUUUAAACACAAGUUUUAAGUUUGAAAGAUGCAAUUGCAUCACUCAAAGAUGAUCCCGCGUUGUAUUAGCUAGUUGGUGGGGUAAAGGCUCACCAAGGCGAUGAUACAUAGCCGACCUGAGAGGGUGAUCGGCAAGAUGGGAAGGGGGACAAGACCAAAACUCCGACGGGGGCCAGAAGAAGGAAAUCUUCGGCAGGGGAGGAAAGUCUACCGGGGCAACGCGGCGUAAUUAAGGAAGUUUUUGGGAUCGUAAAACCCGGUUGGUAGAGAAGAAGGUUGGGGAAGGUGAAAGCUCAUCAAGUGACGGUAACUACUCAGAAAGGGACGGCUAACUACGUG
RNAcentral lists this ribosomal RNA (496 nucleotides) under uncultured bacterium. RNAcentral's name for it is "partial 16S ribosomal RNA". It matches the Rfam family "Bacterial small subunit ribosomal RNA", at positions 28 to 507 of the family's 1533-position model. The record is from RNAcentral.